This is a long non-coding RNA of Hemicordylus capensis (graceful crag lizard), 1380 nucleotides long. RefSeq lists it as uncharacterized. Lineage: Eukaryota; Metazoa; Chordata; Lepidosauria; Squamata; Cordylidae. The record is from RefSeq and is a predicted model, not a curated record. The transcript has 2 exons.
AGACAGGGCUGGCAGCAGUUUAUCAGAAGGAGAGGGAAUAAUGUGUGAGAGAGCAAUGUGACUUCACUAAAUCAGGUUGAAGUGUACUUCGGACACAUUAUGAGAAGACUCAGCAUCCUUGAGAAGUCUAUAACGCUGGGGAAUGUUGAAGGAAAGAGAAGAAGAGGAUGACCAGCAGCAAGGUGGAUGGACUCGAUUACGACAGCAAUGAAUGCACCACUGAGAGUUUGUAAAGGCCAAGUUGAAGAGAGAUAAUCCUGGAGAAAAUCUAUCUAUGUGGUUGCUAAGAGUCAACACCAACUUGACAGCACUUAAUCAAGCACUCAAUCAAGGUGUACCCAUGGCUAAUCCUGUGCAUGGCAGCUCUCACAAGAGUUCACAAACAGAAGCACCUGAUUAGGCAGGGGGGAUUCCAUAUGCAAAUAGGGAGUGGGAGCCUGUGAGAGCAGAAGCACCAUGGUGAUUGGGCAGUGGGGAUUCCAUAUGCAGAUAGGGAGGAGGAGCCUGUGAUGGUUAAGGUCAGAUGGAAUGCAAUUGUUAUUGACCGGAAGAUGUUCUUGAUUGUAGAGGACAGAAAUCUAUAUAUAUAAAAGGAUAGUGGGCAGAGGUCUGCGAAGAGAGGGGUCAUGGGGGAGGAAAGAGCCCCUUCAGGAGAAGGUGGCUGCUGUUGUGUGAAUUAGAUGAGGAAACAAGAUAAACAAGAUUGGUUAACUCAAGAAGGGGGGGGAGAAAGACAGAGGGGAAGAGCGAGUGGAGUAGAGAGAAAGAAGAAAGGGCUAGGGCCCGAGCCUGUCAGUGGCCGAGGGGAAUGAGUGGCCAUGGCAGUGGCAGCAGGGAGGUAGGCCAACUGCUGCUGUUGCUGCUCCUCCUGUGGGGCUCAGGUGAGGGAGAGGAGGUCGCUGGGGAUAGGGGGGUGCAGCUUGGCCAAUAGGUGCCAGCAAUGCUGCAGCCGCGACCAAGAGGGGUGAGGGGAUGGAGUAAAAGGAUUAAGGAGUAACCAGAAGGGGUGAGGUGGAUGGAAGCAAUGGGAUGGAGGAGCAGGAGCAGGAGUGCAGCUCAGGUGAGGGUGGAGAGAUCUCUGAAGUGAGAGGGGCAGUGGCAGGGAGUGAAGGCAGCAAACAAGUACUAGUGCACAAAUGCUCUGCACAGGUAAAGCUAAUACAAGUAAAUACAUGGUUAACGAAAGCAGUACAUGGUUAAUUAAAAAUGAAAGGAAUGUGCUUCAAAUAAUGUUUAUAAAUUUAAAAUAAACUGUUUCAACUUAAUGUAAUUUGCCAAGAAAGGCUGAUAGAAAUGGACUUUCUAGCUCCAUAGUAUUUCUAUUUUGGGGCUGUAGGUUAGCCUAAAAUGCAUCAAAAAAUAAAUUUAUUUAUUUAUUUA